This 253-nucleotide ribosomal RNA is filed under the name uncultured bacterium. Its description in RNAcentral is "partial 16S ribosomal RNA". It matches the Rfam family "Bacterial small subunit ribosomal RNA", at positions 524 to 776 of the family's 1533-position model. The record is from RNAcentral.
UACGUAGGGGACAAGCGUUGUCCGGAAUCAUUGGGCGUAAAGAGCGUGUAGGCGGCCCGAUAAGUCCGCUGUGAAAGUCCAGGGCUCAACCCUGGGAUGCCGGUGGAUACUGUCGGGCUCGAGUCCGGAAGAGGAGUGUGGAAUUCCUGGUGUAGCGGUGAAAUGCGCAGAUAUCAGGAGGAACACCAAUGGCGAAGGCAGCACUCUGGGACGUGACUGACGCUGAGACGCGAAAGCGUGGGGAGCAAACAGG